GAAACAGGUGCUAAUACCGCAUAACAGUUUAUGCCGCAUGGCAUAAGAGUGAAAGGCGCUUUCGGGUGUCACUGAUGGAUGGACCCGCGGUGCAUUAGCUAGUUGGUGAGGUAACGGCUCACCAAGGCCACGAUGCAUAGCCGACCUGAGAGGGUGAUCGGCCACACUGGGACUGAGACACGGCCCAGACUCCUACGGGAGGCAGCAGUAGGGAAUCUUCGGCAAUGGACGAAAGUCUGACCGAGCAACGCCGCGUGAGUGAAGAAGGUUUUCGGAUCGUAAAACUCUGUUGUUAGAGAAGAACAAGGACGUUAGUAACUGAACGUCCCCUGACGGUAUCUAACCAGAAAGCCACGGCUAACUACGUGCCAGCAGCCGCGGUAAUACGUAGGUGGCAAGCGUUGUCCGGAUUUAUUGGGCGUAAAGCGAGCGCAGGCGG
This 439-nucleotide ribosomal RNA is filed under the name Enterococcus faecalis. Its description in RNAcentral is "bacterial SSU rRNA". It matches the Rfam family "Bacterial small subunit ribosomal RNA", at positions 153 to 578 of the family's 1533-position model. Lineage: Bacteria; Bacillati; Bacillota; Bacilli; Lactobacillales; Enterococcaceae. The record is from RNAcentral.